Molecule: ribosomal RNA, 404 nt
Filed under: Brucella melitensis
Lineage: Bacteria; Pseudomonadati; Pseudomonadota; Alphaproteobacteria; Hyphomicrobiales; Brucellaceae
Also listed under: 2 other names
Description: partial 16S ribosomal RNA
Rfam family: Bacterial small subunit ribosomal RNA
Source: RNAcentral
UGGGGAAUAUUGGACAAUGGGCGCAAGCCUGAUCCAGCCAUGCCGCGUGAGUGAUGAAGGCCCUAGGGUUGUAAAGCUCUUUCACCGGUGAAGAUAAUGACGGUAACCGGAGAAGAAGCCCCGGCUAACUUCGUGCCAGCAGCCGCGGUAAUACGAAGGGGGCUAGCGUUGUUCGGAUUUACUGGGCGUAGAGCGCACGUAGGCGGACUUUUAAGUCAGGGGUGAAAUCCCGGGGCUCAACCCCGGAACUGCCUUUGAUACUGGAAGUCUUGAGUAUGGUAGAGGUGAGUGGAAUUCCGAGUGUAGAGGUGAAAUUCGUAGAUAUUCGGAGGAACACCAGUGGCGAAGGCGGCUCACUGGACCAUUACUGACGCUGAGGUGCGAAAGCGUGGGGAGCAAACAGG